Molecule: ribosomal RNA, 465 nt
Filed under: uncultured bacterium
Lineage: Bacteria
Description: partial 16S ribosomal RNA
Rfam family: Bacterial small subunit ribosomal RNA
Source: RNAcentral
CCUACGGGUGGCAGCAGUAGGGAAUCUUCGGCAAUGGGGGCAACCCUGACCGAGCAACGCCGCGUGAGUGAAGAAGGUUUUCGGAUCGUAAAGCUCUGUUGUAAGAGAAGAACGUGUGUGAGAGUGGAAAGUUCACACAGUGACGGUAACUUACCAGAAAGGGACGGCUAACUACGUGCCAGCAGCCGCGGUAAUACGUAGGUCCCGAGCGUUAUCCGGAUUUAUUGGGCGAAAAGCGAGCGAAGGCGGUUGGAUAAGUCUGAAGUUAAAGGCUGUGGCUCAACCAUAGUAUGCUUUGGAAACUGUGCAACUUGAGUGCAGAAGGGGAGAGUGGAAUUCCAUGUGUAGCGGUGGAAUGCGUAGAUAUAUGGAGGAACACCAGUGGCGAAGGCGGAUUGCUGGACAGUAACUGACGCUGAGGCGCGAAAGCGUGGGGAGCAAACAGGAUUAGAUACCCUUGUAGUC